Molecule: ribosomal RNA, 1394 nt
Filed under: uncultured bacterium
Lineage: Bacteria
Description: bacterial SSU rRNA
Rfam family: Bacterial small subunit ribosomal RNA
Source: RNAcentral
AUUGAACGCUGGCGGCAGGCCUAACACAUGCAAGUCGAGCGGCAACAGGAAUAAGUUUUUACUUUUUUGCUGGCGAGCGGCGAACGGGUGAGUAAUAUCUGGGGAUCUGCCUUAUGGAGGGGGAUAACUACUGGAAACGGUAGCUAAUACCGCAUAAUGUCGUAGGACCAAAGUGGGGGACCUUUUUGGCCUCACACCAUAAGAUGAACCCAGAUGGGAUUAGCUAGUAGGUAGGGUAAUGGCUUACCUAGGCAACGAUCCCUAGCUGGUCUGAGAGGAUGAUCAGCCACACUGGAACUGAGAUACGGUCCAGACUCCUACGGGAGGCAGCAGUGGGGAAUAUUGCACAAUGGGGGAAACCCUGAUGCAGCCAUGCCGCGUGUGUGAAGAAGGCCUUAGGGUUGUAAAGCACUUUCAGCAGGGAAGAAAGUAAUUGCACUAAUAUUGCUAUUAAUUGACGUUACCUGCAGAAGAAGCACCGGCUAACUCCGUGCCAGCAGCCGCGGUAAUACGGAGGGUGCGAGCGUUAAUCGGAAUUACUGGGCGUAAAGAGUACGUAGGCGGUUUGUGUGGGUCAGAUGUGAAAUCCCCGGGCUUAACCUGGGAACUGCAUUUGAAACUAGCAAGCUAGAGUCUCGUAGAGGGGAGUAGAAUUCCAGGUGUAGCGGUGAAAUGCGUAGAUAUCUGGAGGAAUACCAGUGGCGAAGGCGACUCCCUGGACGAAGACUGACGCUAAGGUACGAAAGCGUGGGGAGCAAACAGGAUUAGAUACCCUGGUAGUCCAUGCUGUAAACGAUGUCGAUUUGAAGGUUGUGGCCUUGAGCUGUGACUUUCGUAGUUAACGCGUUAAAUCGACCGCCUGGGGAGUACGGCCGCAAGGUUAAAACUCAAAUGAAUUGACGGGGGCCCGCACAAGCGGUGGAGCAUGUGGUUUAAUUCGAUGCAACGCGAAGAACCUUACCUACUCUUGACAUCCAAAGAAUAAAACAGAGAUGUUUUAGUGCCUUUAUAGGAGCUUUGAGACAGGUGCUGCAUGGCUGUCGUCAGCUCGUGUUGUGAAAUGUUGGGUUAAGUCCCGCAACGAGCGCAACCCUUAUCCUUUGUUGCCAGCGAUUCGGUCGGGAACUCAAAGGAGACUGCCGGUGAUAAACCGGAGGAAGGUAGGGAUGACGUCAAGUCAUCAUGGCCCUUACGAGUAGGGCUACACACGUGCUACAAUGGUGUAUACAAAGAGAAGCGAUCUCGCGAGAGUCAGCAAACCUCAUAAAGUACAUCACAGUCCGGAUUGGAGUCUGCAACUCGACUCCAUAAAGUUGGAAUCGCUAGUAAUCGUGGAUCAGAAUGUCACGGUGAAUACGUUCCCGGGCCUUGCACACACCGCCCGUGGAUCCGUG